RNAcentral lists this ribosomal RNA (497 nucleotides) under uncultured bacterium. RNAcentral describes it as "partial 16S ribosomal RNA". It matches the Rfam family "Bacterial small subunit ribosomal RNA", at positions 28 to 507 of the family's 1533-position model. The record is from RNAcentral.
GAUGAACGCUGGCGGCGUGCCUAAUACAUGCAAGUCGAGCGAACAGACGAGGAGCUUGCUCCUCUGACGUUAGCGGCGGACGGGUGAGUAACACGUGGAUAACCUACCUAUAAGACUGGGAUAACUUCGGGAAACCGGAGCUAAUACCGGAUAAUAUAUUUAACCGCAUGGUUCAAUAGUGAAAGACGGUUUUGCUGUCACCUAUAGAUGGAUCCCCGCCGCAUUAGCUAGUUGGUAAGGUAACGGCUUACCAAGGCGACGAUGCGUAGCCGACCUGAGAGGGUGAUCGGCCACACUGGAACUGAGACACGGUCCAGACUCCUACGGGAGGCAGCAGUAGGGAAUCUUCCGCAAUGGGCGAAAGCCUGACGGAGCAACGCCGCGUGAGUGAUGAAGGUCUUCGGAUCGUAAAACUCUGUUAUUAGGGAAGAACAAAUGUGUAAGUAACUAUGCACGUCUUGACGGUACCUAAUCAGAAAGCCACGGCUAACUACGUG